CCUACGGGCGGCUGCAGUGGGGAAUAUUGGACAAUGGGGGCAACCCUGAUCCAGCCAUGCCGCGUGUGUGAAGAAGGCCCUCGGGUUGUAAAGCACUUUCAGUGAGGAAGAACGCCUGGUGGUUAAUACCCAUCAGGAAAGACAUCACUCACAGAAGAAGCACCGGCUAACUCCGUGCCAGCAGCCGCGGUAAUACGGAGGGUGCGAGCGUUAAUCGGAAUUAUUGGGCGUAAAGCGCGCGUAGGUGGCUUGAUAAGCCGGUUGUGAAAGCCCCGGGCUCAACCUGGGAACGGCAUCCGGAACUGUCAAGCUAGAGUGCAGGAGAGGAAGGUAGAAUUCCCGGUGUAGCGGUGAAAUGCGUAGAGAGCGGGAGGAAUACCAGUGGCGAAGGCGGCCUUCUGGACUGACACUGACACUGAGGUGCGAAAGCGUGGGUAGCAAACAGGAUUAGAUACCCGAGUAGUC
This 465-nucleotide ribosomal RNA is filed under the name Vreelandella stevensii. RNAcentral describes it as "partial 16S ribosomal RNA". It matches the Rfam family "Bacterial small subunit ribosomal RNA", at positions 338 to 795 of the family's 1533-position model. The record is from RNAcentral. Lineage: Bacteria; Pseudomonadati; Pseudomonadota; Gammaproteobacteria; Oceanospirillales; Halomonadaceae.